Molecule: ribosomal RNA, 253 nt
Filed under: uncultured bacterium
Lineage: Bacteria
Description: partial 16S ribosomal RNA
Rfam family: Bacterial small subunit ribosomal RNA
Source: RNAcentral
UACUGAGGUCCCAAGCGUUGUUCGGAUUCAUUGGGCGUAAAGGGUGCGUAGGCGGCGGGGUAAGUCGGAUGUGAAAUCUCGGGGCUCAACCUCGAAACUGCAUUCGAUACUGCCUUGCUAGAGUACUGGAGAGGAGAUCGGAAUUUACGGUGUAGCAGUGAAAUGCGUAGAUAUCGUAAGGAAGACCAGUGGCGAAGGCAGAUCUCUGGACAGUUACUGACGCUGAGGCGCGAACGCCAGGGGAGCAAACGGG